GGGGCCGACCGGAAUCGACAGGAAGUGUAGAUGAUAUGCUUGCAUGUCAGGUGGUGAGUGUACACCUGCGAUCAAUUCGCUCAAACCAUAAUUGGCGAAUCUAAUUACGCCAUGGCAGCCUAAUCUCGAAGUAUAGUAGAGAUUAAUUAGUUCUGGCCCUAUCGGUCAGACCUGCCACAUCCCACCAUGCCUCUGUCCUGUAGGCAGGAGUUUGGGGUGUCGACAUUCGGGACUAGCUAGAAGCGGGGUCGUGAGCUGAUAGUGAAAUUUAAUCGCGACUGGUAGGACGAGUUGGUAGUUUUCCGCCUGCUCCCCUGCGAGAUUAAAAGGAUAACUAAGCAUGUAGAGGGUAUAUUUUUUCCUUCUCUGGACGAGGGUUCGAAUCCCUCCGGCUCCACCU
Molecule: transfer-messenger RNA, 400 nt
Filed under: Cyclobacteriaceae
Lineage: Bacteria; Pseudomonadati; Bacteroidota; Cytophagia; Cytophagales
Also listed under: 1 other name
Description: UBA7330 sp019192515 Standard tmRNA
Rfam family: transfer-messenger RNA
About the family: Bacterial tmRNA, also known as 10Sa RNA or SsrA, is named for its dual tRNA and mRNA-like properties.
Source: RNAcentral